GGACUACCGGGGUAUCUAAUCCUGUUUGCUCCCCACGCUUUCGCACCUCAGCGUCAGUACCGAGCCAGUGAGCCGCCUUCGCCACUGGUGUUCUUGCGAAUAUCUACGAAUUUCACCUCUACACUCGCAGUUCCACUCACCUCUCUCGGACUCGAGACAUCCAGUAUCGAAGGCAGUUCUGGAGUUGAGCUCCAGGAUUUCACCACCGACUUAGAUGCCCGCCUACGUGCGCUUUACGCCCAGUGAUUCCGAGCAACGCUAGCCCCCUUCGUAUUACCGCGGCGGCUGGCAC
This 292-nucleotide ribosomal RNA is filed under the name uncultured Alphaproteobacteria bacterium. RNAcentral describes it as "partial 16S ribosomal RNA". The record is from RNAcentral. Lineage: Bacteria; Pseudomonadati; Pseudomonadota; Alphaproteobacteria.